Molecule: transfer RNA, 73 nt
Filed under: Trichonephila inaurata madagascariensis
Lineage: Eukaryota; Metazoa; Arthropoda; Arachnida; Araneae; Nephilidae
Rfam family: tRNA
About the family: Transfer RNA (tRNA) molecules are approximately 80 nucleotides in length.
Source: Rfam by way of RNAcentral
AUCCCUGUAGUGCAAUGGAUAGCGCUUUGGACUUCUAAUCCAAAAGUCGUGGGUUCGAAUCCCACCUGAGAUG